This 1442-nucleotide ribosomal RNA is filed under the name uncultured prokaryote. Its description in RNAcentral is "partial 16S ribosomal RNA". It matches the Rfam family "Bacterial small subunit ribosomal RNA". The record is from RNAcentral.
GAUGAACGCUAGCGGUAGGCUUAACACAUGCAAGUCGAACGGUAACAUGAGAGCUUGCUCUUGAUGACGAGUGGCGAACGGGUGCGUAACACGUAUGCAACUUGCCCCUAACAAAGGAAUAGCCCAGAGAAAUCUGGAUUAAUACCUUAUAAUAUCAUUUUUUCGCAUGAUUAGAUGAUUAAAACUCCGGUGGUUAGGGAUGGGCAUGCGCCCCAUUAGUUUGUUGGUGAGGUAAUGGCUCACCAAGACUACGAUGGGUAGGGGGUCUGAGAGGAUGGUCCCCCACACUGGUACUGAGACACGGACCAGACUCCUACGGGAGGCAGCAGUGAGGAAUAUUGGGCAAUGGACGAAAGUCUGACCCAGCCAUACCGCGUGAAGGAAGAAUGCCCUCUGGGUUGUAAACUUCUUUUAUAUGCCAAGAAACCCCUCUACGUGUAGAGGGCUGACGGUAGCAUAUGAAUAAGCACCGGCUAACUCCGUGCCAGCAGCCGCGGUAAUACGGAGGGUGCAAGCGUUAUCCGGAUUUAUUGGGUUUAAAGGGUUCGUAGGCGGAUCAAUAAGUCAGUGGUGAAAGCCUGUGGCUCAACCAUAGAACUGCCAUUGAUACUGUUGAUCUUGAGUACACUUGAAGUGGGCGGAAUGCGUCAUGUAGCGGUGAAAUGCAUAGAUAUGACGCAGAACACCGAUUGCGAAGGCAGCUCACUAAAUUGUAACUGACGCUGAGGAACGAAAGCGUGGGGAGCGAACAGGAUUAGAUACCCUGGUAGUCCACGCCGUAAACGAUGAUUACUCGAUAUUGGCGAUAUAAUGCCAGUGUCCAAGCGAAAGUGUUAAGUAAUCCACCUGGGGAGUACGGUCGCAAGAUUGAAACUCAAAGGAAUUGACGGGGGCCCGCACAAGCGGUGGAGCAUGUGGUUUAAUUCGAUGAUACGCGAGGAACCUUACCUGGGCUUAAAUGUAUUUUGACAGACUGGGAAACCAGUCCUUCUUCGGACAAUUUACAAGGUGCUGCAUGGUUGUCGUCAGCUCGUGCUGUGAGGUGUCGGGUUAAGUCCCAUAACGAGCGCAACCCCUAUCCUUAGUUGCCAGCGAGUAAUGUCGGGGACUCUAAGGAAACUGCCGGUGCAAACCGUGAGGAAGGUGGGGAUGACGUCAAAUCAUCACGGCCCUUACGUCCAGGGCUACACACGUGCUACAAUGGCAUAUACAAAGGGCAGCUACUUGGUGACAAGAUGCUAAUCUCUAAAGUAUGUCUCAGUUCGGAUCGAAGUCUGCAACUCGACUUCGUGAAGCUGGAAUCGCUAGUAAUCGCGUAUCAGCAAUGACGCGGUGAAUACGUUCCCGGGCCUUGUACACACCGCCCGUCAAGCCAUGGAAGUUGGGAGUGCCUGAAGUCGGUGACCGCAAGGAGCUGCCUAAGGUAAAACUAGUAACUGGGG